RNAcentral lists this ribosomal RNA (634 nucleotides) under uncultured bacterium. RNAcentral describes it as "bacterial SSU rRNA". It matches the Rfam family "Bacterial small subunit ribosomal RNA", at positions 62 to 691 of the family's 1533-position model. The record is from RNAcentral.
UCGAGGGGCAGCACAGGUAGCAUACCGGGUGGCGACCGGCGCACGGGUGAGUAACGCGUAUGCAACUUACCUAUCAGAGGGGGAUAACCCGGCGAAAGUCGGACUAAUACCGCAUGAAGCAGGGGUCCCGCAUGGGGAUAUUUGCUAAAGAUUCAUCGCUGAUAGAUAGGCAUGCGUUCCAUUAGGCAGUUGGCGGGGUAACGGCCCACCAAACCGACGAUGGAUAGGGGUUCUGAGAGGAAGGUCCCCCACAUUGGUACUGAGACACGGACCAAACUCCUACGGGAGGCAGCAGUGAGGAAUAUUGGUCAAUGGGCGUAAGCCUGAACCAGCCAAGUCGCGUGAGGGAUGAAGGUUCUAUGGAUCGUAAACCUCUUUUAUAAGGGAAUAAAGUGCGGGACGUGUCCCGUUUUGUAUGUACCUUAUGAAUAAGGAUCGGCUAACUCCGUGCCAGCAGCCGCGGUAAUACGGAGGAUCCGAGCGUUAUCCGGAUUUAUUGGGUUUAAAGGGUGCGUAGGCGGCCUUUUAAGUCAGCGGUGAAAGUCUGUGGCUCAACCAUAGAAUUGCCGUUGAAACUGGGGGGCUUGAGUAUGUUUGAGGCAGGCGGAACGCGUGGUGUAGCGGUGAAAUGCAU